AACCUGGUUGAUCCUGCCAGUAGUCAUACGCUCGUCUCAAAGAUUAAGCCAUGCAUGUGUAAGUUCAAUGAUUUGACCAAAAAACUGCGAAUGGCUCAUUAUAUCAGUUAUAGUUUAUUUGAUAGUCCCUUACUACUUGGAUACCCGUAGUAAUUCUAGAGCUAAUACAUGCGUAAACACUCGACCUUUGGAAGAGUGGUAUUUAUUAGAUUGAAACCAACCCGUUUCGGCGGUGUCCUGGUGAUUCAUAAUAACUUUUCGGAUUGCAUUGCAACAUUUAUUCAAGUUUCUGCCCUAUCAGCUUUGACGGUUAGUGUA
Molecule: ribosomal RNA, 318 nt
Filed under: uncultured marine eukaryote
Lineage: Eukaryota
Description: SSU rRNA
Rfam family: Eukaryotic small subunit ribosomal RNA
Source: RNAcentral